UAGCCGAGCUCUGAGAGAGUACGUAAACGAAGAGCAGAGCAAACAGCAGUGGGAGAGAGAGACAGCGAGAGAGCGAGCUCGCAAAAGUGAUAUUGCGGAUGACAAAGCAAAGCUAACGAACUGAACUUGCCAAGCUCUCGCAUACAGUGACACCACACACAUACACACACACACACACACACGCACACCCAACAGAGUCGUAAUGAACGUUACGAGAGGGGGGGUUAAAUCAAAGCAAAAUUCCAAAAACCAAAGUCAGAUGCUGACCAAAUUAGCGGUAGUUGGCAACAGCGGAGAACGGAGAGCGAGUGUGGCUGUGUGUAUGUGUGUGUGUGAGAGGCGAUAACAAAGCAAAACAGAGAGGGAUAGAGAGAGAGAUAGAGAGCAGAGUCAAACGGCAAGGGGGAAUACACUUACAGCCUUACAUCUCUGAUGCAUUCACUCCCUCCUCCUAUCUGCUAUCUGCACUUCCACCGCAUUAUCACCGAUACUCUUACGUACAGAUACGGACACUGCGGCAAUACGUAUACGACGCAUUGACCGGACGGACACUAGUACAUUGACUAAAUGUAAUCGUCGCGGGGUGCUUGACGUAAAAGACAGCGGAACGACAACAGAUAGACAGAACCAGCUUGGCAACCGUCAGCACCCUCGUCGACCCGUCAACGAACGCAUUUCAUUUGAAUAACAAAUCAUUUAUUCUUUGACAGGUAGAGCGCCGGACAAGGACAGGGACCACGGCCCACGGACCAUGGACAGGGACGUGCUGCAGGUGGCUGAAAAAAGGCUGAAUAGAAAAGUACCCGGGCACCCCGGGUCCGGUUCAAAUACAGGUAGCCCUUGGAGGAUAUUGUAGUAGUAGUAUGACUGAUACGGGCCCUGCCGAUGACUGGAAGAAGGUUACCGCAUGACCCUCUAACCCCCUGGCAAUGUCAUUUACUCGGAUGGAUAUCGAGUUGCAUACCUUACGGAAACACAGAAACAGAGGAACUGCACUCAUCAUGGAAUCUGAGUUUUCGAUUAACAUUUAUUUGGAAUAACCGCCUCCCCAGCAUUAAUAUUAAUAGAACUUGUUCUGUUAUAUUCGGGAAGUUCGUUUCUACGAGUAUAUAGAUGUGGAUCUCGUUCUAUUGUCUGUCUGAUCGUCAAGAUUUCACGAUGACAGACACGAAAUUUGUGCGGUAAUCAUAACUGAUGUUUGGAUGCUACUCGUAGCAGGAUGGGCGAUAAAAUAAGCCCCACCAAGCUGAUUAGACCGUAUCAUCAUUGAAAGUUUCCUUCCCAAUAGAUUAAAGUACAAAACUAGAUAAUAAUAAUCGUAUAAUGCAUAUCUUAGAAUCCUUGGCCGAACCAAUUCCUAGUUACUGUAAGCCAAUGCCAAUUACUGUCAUAAAAAGUGCACUAUCACAAUGAAAACUUCCUCAUACGGACAGUAAAGACUCCUUAUAGAACUCUAGGUUAUCAAAACCAUAUAAAACAAUCAAUCGAUCUGAGAUAAUAGAAACAGAAAAGACCAUUAUGUCCACUCCCUAAAAAAUAGCCUUGGGAAUACCCCGAAAUGUUCAGUCUUUGGUAGAAUCUUAGAACGCAAUUGAAAAAGCUUUCUCUUGAGCUAUCGUUUUGUAGAUCUAGCUGUACAAAGACCUGUCUAUAGAUGUGAGAAAAAAAACUCACGUGAUUUGUCUACUUUGAACCAAUAGCAAACAUGGACUUCCCGUACAUUAAAUACGUAUUUCCCACCAACGCACACAAAAAAGUCUAAAAUUUACCAGGGAAUACCUAGACCACAGAUCAGGAAUAAAAAUAUUUAAAUGUCUGACAAAAUUA
Long non-coding RNA from Drosophila persimilis, 1827 nucleotides. RefSeq lists it as uncharacterized. The record is from RefSeq and is a predicted model, not a curated record. The transcript has 3 exons. NCBI's taxonomy places the organism in Eukaryota, Metazoa, Arthropoda, Insecta, Diptera, Drosophilidae.